GAUCCUGGCUCAGAGUGAACGCUGGCGGUGUGCCUAACACAUGCAAGUCGAACGGUAACAGGUUAAGCUGACGAGUGGCGCACGGGUGAGUAAAAGAUAGCUAACAUUCCCUUUGGAGGGGAACAACAGAUAGAAAUGUCUGCUAAUACCCCAUACUCCGAGCAAUCGGGAAACGGUUUUUCGCCAAAGGAUUGGGCUAUCACCUAUCAGUUAGUUGGCAGGGUAAAAGCCUACCAAGACUAUGACGGGUAACUGGUCUGAGAGGACAAUCAGUCACACUGGAACUGAGACACGGUCCAGACUCCUACGGGAGGCAGCAGUGGGGAAUAUUGCGCAAUGGGGGAAACCCUGACGCAGCAACACCGCGUGGAGGAUGGAGCAUUUCGAUGUGUAAACUCCUUUUGAGAGGGAAGAAUAAAGACGGUACCUCUCGAAUAAGCACCGGCUAACUCCGUGCCAGCAGCCGCGGUAAUACGGAGGGUGCAAGCGUUACUCGGAAUCACUGGGCGUAAAGAACGCGUAGGCGGGGUUAUAAGUCUUGAGUGAAAUACUAUAGCUUAACUAUAGAAUUGCUUUGAGAAACUAUAAUCCUAGAAUCUGAAAGAGGUAAAUGGAAUUAGUAGUGUAGGGGUAAAAUCCGUAGAUAUUACUAGGGAUACCAAAAGCGAAAGCAUUUACUGGGGUCAGUAUUGACGCUGUGGCGUGAAAGUGUAUGUAGCAUACGGGAUUAGAACCCUGGUAGUCCACACCCUAAACUA
Molecule: ribosomal RNA, 758 nt
Filed under: uncultured bacterium
Lineage: Bacteria
Description: bacterial SSU rRNA
Rfam family: Bacterial small subunit ribosomal RNA
Source: RNAcentral